Small nucleolar RNA from Cricetulus griseus (Chinese hamster), 131 nucleotides. Its record names the gene SNORA70. It matches the Rfam family "Small nucleolar RNA SNORA70". Rfam says of the family: snoRNA U70 seems to be exclusive to mammals and is a member of the H/ACA class of snoRNA which contain H (ANANNA) and ACA box motifs. H/ACA box snoRNAs are involved in the conversion of uridines to pseudouridines (5-ribosyluracil) a constituent of structural RNAs (transfer, ribosomal, small nuclear, and small nucleolar). The record is from Ensembl. Lineage: Eukaryota; Metazoa; Chordata; Mammalia; Rodentia; Cricetidae.
UUAUAGCCAAUUGAGAUGACCAAGUCCCUUCUUCAUGAAGGCCUAUGUGCAAUGGCUGCAAACAGAAGCCGCCUUGAUAGCACAUUUAGCCUGCUGCCUAUGUGGGUUGCACCAGGACACGGUGGCCAGGG